This 253-nucleotide ribosomal RNA is filed under the name uncultured bacterium. Its description in RNAcentral is "partial 16S ribosomal RNA". It matches the Rfam family "Bacterial small subunit ribosomal RNA", at positions 524 to 776 of the family's 1533-position model. The record is from RNAcentral.
UACAGAGGGGGCAAGCGUUGUUCGGAAUUACUGGGCGUAAAGGGCGCGUAGGCGGCCGCCUAAGUCAGACGUGAAAUCCCUCGGCUCAACCGGGGAACUGCGUCUGAUACUGGGUGGCUUGAAUCCGGGAGAGGGAUGCAGAAUUCCAGGUGUAGCGGUGAAAUGCGUAGAUAUCUGGAGGAAUACCGGUGGCGAAGGCGGCAUCCUGGACCGGCAUUGACGCUGAUGAGCGAAAGCUAGGGGAGCAAACGGG